UUAAGCGACUAAGCGUACACGGUGGAUGCCCUGGCAGUCAGAGGCGAUGAAGGACGUGCUAAUCUGCGAAAAGCGCCGGCGAGGUGAUAUGAACCUUUGACCCGGCGAUGUCCGAAUGGGGAAACCCAGUGCAAUCCGUUGCACUAUCGUUAACUGAAUACAUAGGUUAACGAGGCGAACCGGGGGAACUGAAACAUCUAAGUACCCCGAGGAAAAGAAAUCAACCGAGAUUCCCCCAGUAGCGGCGAGCGAACGGGGAGCAGCCCGGAGUCUGAAUCAGCUUGUGUGUUAGUGGAACGGUCUGGAAAGUCCGACGGUACAGGGUGAUAGUCCCGUACACGAAAGCACACAUGCUGUGAACUCGAAGAGUAGGGCGGGACACGUGGUAUCCUGUCUGAAUAUGGGGGGACCAUCCUCCAAGGCUAAAUACUCCUGACUGACCGAUAGUGAACCAGUACCGUGAGGGAAAGGCGAAAAGAACCCCGGCGAGGGGAGUGAAAAAGAACCUGAAACCGUGUACGUACAAGCAGUGGGAGCCUCUUUAUGGGGUGACUGCGUACCUUUUGUAUAAUGGGUCAGCGACUUAUAUUCUGUAGCAAGGUUAACCGUAUAGGGGAGCCGAAGGGAAACCGAGUCUUAACUGGGCGUUAAGUUGCAGGGUAUAGACCCGAAACCCGGUGAUCUAGCCAUGGGCAGGUUGAAGGUUGGGUAACACUAACUGGAGGACCGAACCGACUAAUGUUGAAAAAUUAGCGGAUGACCUGUGGCUGGGGGUGAAAGGCCAAUCAAACCGGGAGAUAGCUGGUUCUCCCCGAAAGCUAUUUAGGUAGCGCCUCGUGAACUCAUCUUCGGGGGUAGAGCACUGUUUCGGCUAGGGGGCCAUCCCGGCUUACCAACCCGAUGCAAACUACGAAUACCGAAGAAUGUUAUCACGGGAGACACACGGCGGGUGCUAACGUCCGUCGUGAAGAGGGAAACAACCCAGACCGCCAGCUAAGGUCCCAAAGUCAUGGUUAAGUGGGAAACGAUGUGGGAAGGCACAGACAGCCAGGAUGUUGGCUUAGAAGCAGCCAUCAUUUAAAGAAAGCGUAAUAGCUCACUGGUCGAGUCGGCCUGCGCGGAAGAUGUAACGGGGCUAAACCAUGCACCGAAGCUGCGGCAGCGACGCUUAUGCGUUGUUGGGUAGGGGAGCGUUCUGUAAGCCGUUGAAGGUGUCCUGUGAGGGGUGCUGGAGGUAUCAGAAGUGCGAAUGCUGACAUAAGUAACGAUAAAGCGGGUGAAAAGCCCGCUCGCCGGAAGACCAAGGGUUCCUGUCCAACGUUAAUCGGGGCAGGGUGAGUCGACCCCUAAGGCGAGGCCGAAAGGCGUAGUCGAUGGGAAACAGGUUAAUAUUCCUGUACUUGGUGUUACUGCGAAGGGGGGACGGAGAAGGCUAUGUCAGCCGGGCGACGGUUGUCCCGGUUUAAGCAUGUAGGCGGAGGUUCCAGGUAAAUCCGGUACCUUAUUAACGCUGAGGUGUGAUGACGAGGCACUACGGUGCUGAAGUGAUAAAUGCCCUGCUUCCAGGAAAAGCCUCUAAGCAUCAGGUAACACGAAAUCGUACCCCAAACCGACACAGGUGGUCAGGUAGAGAAUACCAAGGCGCUUGAGAGAACUCGGGUGAAGGAACUAGGCAAAAUGGUGCCGUAACUUCGGGAGAAGGCACGCUGAUGUGUAGGUGAAGUCCCUGCGGACGGAGCUGAAAUCAGUCGAAGAUACCAGCUGGCUGCAACUGUUUAUUAAAAACACAGCACUGUGCAAACACGAAAGUGGACGUAUACGGUGUGACGCCUGCCCGGUGCCGGAAGGUUAAUUGAUGGGGUUAGCGGCAACGCGAAGCUCUUGAUCGAAGCCCCGGUAAACGGCGGCCGUAACUAUAACGGUCCUAAGGUAGCGAAAUUCCUUGUCGGGUAAGUUCCGACCUGCACGAAUGGCGUAAUGAUGGCCAGGCUGUCUCCACCCGAGACUCAGUGAAAUUGAACUCGCUGUGAAGAUGCAGUGUACCCGCGGCAAGACGGAAAGACCCCGUGAACCUUUACUAUAGCUUGACACUGAACACUGGUCCUUGAUGUGUAGGAUAGGUGGGAGGCUUUGAAGCGUGGACGCCAGUCUGCGUGGAGCCAACCUUGAAAUACCACCCUUUAAUGGCUGGUGUUCUAACGUAGACCCGUAAUCCGGGUUGCGGACAGUGUCUGGUGGGUAGUUUGACUGGGGCGGUCUCCUCCCAAAGAGUAACGGAGGAGCACGAAGGUUGGCUAAUCCUGGUCGGACAUCAGGAGGUUAGUGCAAUGGCAUAAGCCAGCUUGACUGCGAGCGUGACGGCGCGAGCAGGUGCGAAAGCAGGUCAUAGUGAUCCGGUGGUUCUGAAUGGAAGGGCCAUCGCUCAACGGAUAAAAGGUACUCCGGGGAUAACAGGCUGAUACCGCCCAAGAGUUCAUAUCGACGGCGGUGUUUGGCACCUCGAUGUCGGCUCAUCACAUCCUGGGGCUGAAGUAGGUCCCAAGGGUAUGGCUGUUCGCCAUUUAAAGUGGUACGCGAGCUGGGUUUAGAACGUCGUGAGACAGUUCGGUCCCUAUCUGCCGUGGGCGCUGGAGAAUUGAGGGGGGCUGCUCCUAGUACGAGAGGACCGGAGUGGACGCAUCACUGGUGUUCGGGUUGUCAUGCCAAUGGCACUGCCCGGUAGCUAAAUGCGGAAGAGAUAAGUGCUGAAAGCAUCUAAGCACGAAACUUGCCCCGAGAUGAGUUCUCCCUGAGACCUUGAGUCUCCUGAAGGAACGUUGAAGACGACGACGUUGAUAGGUCGGGUGUGUAAGCGCAGCGAUGCGUUGAGCUAACCGAUACUAAUGAACCGUGAGGCUUAACCUU
Molecule: ribosomal RNA, 2904 nt
Filed under: Enterobacter cloacae
Lineage: Bacteria; Pseudomonadati; Pseudomonadota; Gammaproteobacteria; Enterobacterales; Enterobacteriaceae
Also listed under: 1 other name
Description: bacterial LSU rRNA
Rfam family: Bacterial large subunit ribosomal RNA
Source: RNAcentral